Talpa occidentalis (Iberian mole) is the source of this 1001-nucleotide long non-coding RNA. RefSeq lists it as uncharacterized. NCBI's taxonomy places the organism in Eukaryota, Metazoa, Chordata, Mammalia, Eulipotyphla, Talpidae. The transcript is spliced from 3 exons. The record is from RefSeq and is a predicted model, not a curated record.
GCGCCGCCGGCGCGGGUUCCCCUGGCAACCCUGACGCCGUGGCACUGUCCGCGUGGACGAUUCCCAGGCACCCCCACAGCCACAGAGUCCAAAAUUCCAUUCGAGGGGCUUCUGGACCUAAGAGGCUAAGAUAUUGGGAAAACCCAAGUGCCCAAGGACAGAUGAAUGAAUUUAGAUGUGAUCCACACACACAGGAAUACGACUCAGCUGUUAAAAAGACAACUUGGAUGAACCUUAAGGGGAUUAGGCCUCUUCAAGCUCCAGAGAACUUGAAUCACCAGUGACCACCCAACAUCUCUGAGACGAUUAAACUCUGUAGCGGCGAGACCUUCCAGAACUUUCCACGUGUGUCCCCCGUGCACACUUGAGCUUUUAUCCUCUCUGACAGCACACAGGGCUCUUCUCUGCCCCCGUCUGCCUCCCUGGUGGGAGGCUCCACGCAGGCAGCCGCCCUUCAGCGUGCCCGGCACGGCCUGCAAGAACAGUGCUCGUUUGUCCACUCCCCCGUAUUAAUUGGGUGUCCACUGUGCAACGGUCUCCAGUCUAGACCCUCGAUGUUUUUGCAAAUGUUUCUCCGGUGGUUGAGGAAUUCACUCUACUUUAAGGAACAACAACAACAAAAAGCCUCUAAGCUGAAGGAAACUUGUGUCUCCGAUUCCUCAGAAAGAUGUGAGGAGUUGGGCAAAUACUUGACCUCCCUCCCUCCACCGGCCGCCCUCUUUGAUUCUGAAUAUCCUGCUUUUCCACGCGGCCUAGGAAAGUGGGGUCAUUCCAGAGGAAAGACUGAGCCCUCUGUGAUUUACAAGUGCAGGUGUUUGCACCCCUGGGGCCAGCCAGGCCUGCUCUUUAUGAGCUCCGAGCCCCGAGGAGGAAAUGCAUCUGAGCUGUGGUCACCUGCCCCGGUGGCAGGGCUGUUAGCUGGCGGCGAGUGGGCGAGGCAGCUGCGGGCAGGCAUUACACAGGCUUUCCAGAAAGAGCUAGGCAGCCAGCGCCCAAGCCAC